Molecule: long non-coding RNA, 1197 nt
Organism: Salvia miltiorrhiza (redroot sage)
Lineage: Eukaryota; Viridiplantae; Streptophyta; Magnoliopsida; Lamiales; Lamiaceae
Exons: 2
Source: RefSeq, a predicted model, not a curated record
CUGUAAGUACUAAUUAAGACCAUAAAUAAUGGAACUCCAUCAAUACAGUGAUAAUCGACAUCAUUAAGUUGAUAUUAUUGUUAUAAAUAUCAAAAUGAUAAUUAUGGCACUAUUACUGUAUACAAGUUUUAAAUAAUAAUUUAAUUCUUCAUUCCCCAAAGAUUUUCUCACUAACCUGACAGAUUUCUAUGAGCAUUUAAACCAUUAGCAUAUUUUGCGGGAAUAUAGACUAAAAACAUUAGAAAUUAAACUGAAAUUCAUAAAUCUCACCAGCCGACUUUAUUGCGGCAGGAUUGCAGGCAGAAUUUACAAAAAGUUGAGUAAAUGAUUCAGAAAAUGCCAAAAAGUGAAAAUACUAGGACCUAAAGGAGAACCAUUGAAACAUAGUAGAUCACUAUUGUGUUUCCUGAACGAACACUCCCCUGGACAAGAGUCGCAGAUGGCCAAUAUACAACCUGCAUAUAGAGGGCAAGGUGAGUUUCAAUUCCUAAAGAUGAUCGUGGAGGAGAUUGAAAAGGGAGGUUGUACACCGGGUUCAACUUUCAGAAAAGAAAGUGAGCUAUAUGUUUAUGGGAAGUUCCGUUCAAUGUUUGGUCCACUUUAUUCAGACUGUUUUCUCAGGUCAAGGUUCAGGACCCUUAGAAAAAGGUACCAAGAGUUCUCAGAUAUGAUGAACAAGCCUGGACUUUCCUGGGACAAGAAAAAUAAUUGUUUAUGGCAACGAGCAACUUCUGAGGACAGAAUACAAGGUAACAGCUGCUUUUUCAUCUAUUUGUUAAAUAAUCUCCUACUUAUUUUUCCUUUAAUCUGAUAGAAACGGCAGAAAUAACAGAUUACAUGAGCAUAUGAAUAAGAACAUCUUACUAAUCCAGUUAACGUGAUGCUUCCUUCCCAGCACCGAUACAAGAACGGGCUUUACUAUGGAGAAAAAUACUUUGAGCUCAUGUGCCAAGUCUUUGAAAGUGGACUGAAGUUUAAGUAAAGCGGAGCAAGUUUUCAAUACCUGAUGCUUUGGGCUAACCAAAAUCAUGGUCAUCUUAGACGAGUUCAUGUUCUGUUCUCUUAUUGAAACUCCGAUUGCCUUAAAUUUCUAUUGAUCUGAAUGCUUAAAUAAUGUCAAAUACUAUCAUACAAACUGGCACAUCCUCCUAUAAUCCUCUUAUUUUUCUUAGUUUAACCAACGGAGGUGCAGUUUUU